UAUCAACGUUAAAAUUAACCGCAGACAGUAGGGAGUUAUACUUUAAAAAUCCUACCGAGGUAAGUAUCGAUUUUUUAAUAUCGAAUUUCUUAAUCUCAUCAGGUCUGCGAUGAGAUUUUUUUAUAUUCAG
This is a regulatory RNA element of Peptoniphilus sp. oral taxon 386, 130 nucleotides long. It matches the Rfam family "Ribosomal protein L10 leader". From Rfam's summary of the family: This family is a putative r-protein leader autoregulatory structure found in B. subtilis and other low-GC Gram-positive bacteria. It is located in the 5' untranslated regions of mRNAs encoding ribosomal proteins L10 and L12 (rplJ-rplL). The record is from Rfam. NCBI's taxonomy places the organism in Bacteria, Bacillati, Bacillota, Tissierellia, Tissierellales, Peptoniphilaceae.